RNAcentral lists this ribosomal RNA (1498 nucleotides) under metagenome. RNAcentral's name for it is "bacterial SSU rRNA". It matches the Rfam family "Bacterial small subunit ribosomal RNA". The record is from RNAcentral.
AGAGUUUGAUCCUGGCUCAGAAUGAACGCUGGCGGCGUGGAUUAGGCAUGCAAGUCGAACGGAUAUUGGGGCUUGCUCCAGUAUUAGUGGCGACCUGGUGAGUACAAGUUGGGUAACCUGCCCGAAAGUGGGGAAUAACUCCUCGAAAGAGGGGCUAAUACCGCAUGUGGUCCCGGGGACUUCGGUUCUUGUGACUAAAGCAGCAGUGUGCUUUCGGAUGGGCCCGACCCCCAUUAGCUAGUUGGUAGGGUAAUGGCCUACCAAGGCUACGAUGGGUAGCUGGCUUGAGAGAGUGGUCAGCCACACGAGGACUGAGAUACGGCCUCGACUCCUACGGGGGGCAGCAGUCUAGAGGCUUCGGCAAUGGGGGCAACCCUGACCGAGCGACGCCGCGUGGAGGAUGAAGGUCUUCGGAUUGUAAACUCCUUUCGGCAGGAAGGAAGGCCCUUGUGGUGAACAGGGGAUUGACCUACCUGCGGAAGAAGCCCCGGCUAACUUCGUGCCAGCAGCCGCGGUAAUACGAAGGGGGCGAGCGUUAUUCGGAUUUAUUGGGCGUAAGGGCGCGUAGGCGGCUGGGCAAGUCUGGUGUGAAAACGCUACCGCUCAACGGAGCGAUUGCGCUGGAAACUGCCCAACUUGAGUGCAGGAGAGGCAUGCGGAAUACCCGGUGUAGCGGUGGAAUGCUUAGAGAUCGGGUAGAACAUCUGAGGCGAAGGCGGCAUGCUGGCCUGUAACUGACGCUGAGGCGCGAAAGCGUGGGGAUCAAACGGGAUUAGAUACCCCGGUAGUCCACGCUGUAAACGGUGAGUACUAGGUGUAGGGGGUAUCCAUUCCUUCUGUGCCGCAGCAAACGCAUUAAGUACUCCGCCUGGGAAGUACGGCCGCAAGGUUGAAACUCAAAGGAAUUGACGGGGGCCCGCACAAGCGGUGGAGCAUGUGGUUUAAUUCGAUUCAACGCGAAGAACCUUACCUGGGCUCGAAAUGAUGCUUAUAAGGGGUGAAAGCCCCGGCCCUUCGGGGGUGCAUUAUAGGUGCUGCAUGGCUGUCGUCAGCUCGUGUCGUGAGAUGUUGGGUUAAGUCCCGCAACGAGCGCAACCCUCGUUUUCAGUUGCCAGCGCGUAAUGGCGGGGACUCUGGAGAGACUGCCCGCGGUAAGCGGGAGGAAGGUGAGGACGACGUCAAGUCAUCAUGGCCCUUACGUCCAGGGCUACACACGUGCUACAAUGGCGGGGACAAUGCGCAGCAACCUGGCGACAGGGAGCGAAUCGCACAAACCUCGUCCCAGUUCAGAUUGGAGUCUGCAACUCGACUCCAUGAAGAUGGAAUCGCUAGUAAUCGCGGAUCAGAAUGCCGCGGUGAAUCCGUUCCCGGGCCUUGUACACACCGCCCGUCACGUCACGAAAGUCGGUUGUACCAGAAGUCGCUGUAGGAACCUCUUCAAACAGGACCAAGGCGCCUAAGGUAUGGCUGGUAAUUGGGACGAAGUCGUAACAAGGUA